RNAcentral lists this ribosomal RNA (293 nucleotides) under uncultured fungus. RNAcentral's name for it is "partial small subunit ribosomal RNA". It matches the Rfam family "Eukaryotic small subunit ribosomal RNA", at positions 30 to 287 of the family's 1831-position model. The record is from RNAcentral. Lineage: Eukaryota; Fungi.
GCUUGUCUCAAAGAUUAAGCCAUGCAUGUCUAAGUACAAGCCUCAGUAAGGUGAAACCGCGAAUGGCUCAUUAAAUCACACCUAAUCUACUGGAAAGUUACUAGUUACUUGGAUAACUGAGGUAAUUCUUGAGCUAAUACAUGCGAAAAAUCUCGACUCACGGAGAGAUGCUUUUAUUAGAUCAAAACCAGUCGGGGAAACGAUCGCGCCGGGUCAAACCGGUCGGUCGCGGAACCGUACCAAUUUUGGUGACUCUGGAUAACUUCACGCCGAUCGCACGGCCUUCGCGCCGG